Long non-coding RNA from Triticum aestivum (bread wheat), 441 nucleotides. RefSeq lists it as uncharacterized. The transcript has 3 exons. Lineage: Eukaryota; Viridiplantae; Streptophyta; Magnoliopsida; Poales; Poaceae. The record is from RefSeq and is a predicted model, not a curated record.
UUAGAGCACAUACAUGCUUGAUUUUACUUCGUUUAAUACAAGGCAUUCUAUAAUUACUAAGAACUGAUUUGUUGAAGUGUGCCUCCCUAUUUUGUCCAGAUAACUACUUCAGGUUAGGCGGGAGAAUUAAAAAGGGUAAGCAUAGAUAUAUGGUCUAGCAUCACGAGGUUCAGGUUCCUGCUGUUGAUCAACCGUUGCUUCGGUCGAGUUAGAGAUUAAAGAAGACUGAAAUUAUGGGCUCGCAGCGAGGAUUGCUGUGUCCAACCUGCACAAGAAUGCCAAGAAGUCCUUCUCGGAGACGAUUAAGGACAUGUACCUGCACUACAACGAGAGAUCUGGGCUGCUUCUUUGUGGCUUCCAAACUUGAAAUGUUUGUUUGGAAGUUAGUUUAGUUUUUUGUUAUGGAUUCACAGCUUCUCACAUGUACCAUCCUAUUAGACC